Molecule: small nucleolar RNA, 81 nt
Organism: Telopea speciosissima
Lineage: Eukaryota; Viridiplantae; Streptophyta; Magnoliopsida; Proteales; Proteaceae
Source: RefSeq, a predicted model, not a curated record
CAGUGUGAUGAAAAACAGGGGCAGUGGAAGCAGAUUGUACAGAAAAGGAUGAUCCAAAAGGUCUUCCCGCAUUGUCUGGAA